RNAcentral lists this ribosomal RNA (433 nucleotides) under uncultured bacterium. Its description in RNAcentral is "partial 16S ribosomal RNA". It matches the Rfam family "Bacterial small subunit ribosomal RNA", at positions 29 to 507 of the family's 1533-position model. The record is from RNAcentral.
AACGAACGCUGGCGGCAGGCCUAACACAUGCAAGUCGAGCGCGCCCUUCGGGGUGAGCGGCGGACGGGUGAGUAACGCGUGGGAACGUGCCCUUUUCUACGGAAUAGCCUCGGGAAACUGAGAGUAAUACCGUAUACGCCCUUUGGGGGAAAGAUUUAUCGGAAAAGGAUCGGCCCGCGUUGGAUUAGGUAGUUGGUGGGGUAAUGGCCUACCAAGCCGACGAUCCAUAGCUGGUUUGAGAGGAUGAUCAGCCACACUGGGACUGAGACACGGCCCAGACUCCUACGGGAAGCAGCAGUGGGGAAUCGUAGACAAUGGGGGCAACCCUGAUCUAGCCAUGACGCGUGAGUGAUGAAGGCCUUAGGGUUGUAAAGCUCUUUCAGCUGGGAAGAUAAUGACGGUACCAGCAGAAGAAGCCCCGGCUAACUCCGUG